UUUUGUGUAUUCAUGAGAGACACAGAGAGAGUGAGAGGCAGAGACACAGGCAGAGGGAAAAGCAGGCUCCCUCUGGGGAGCCCUAAGUAGGACUCUAUCCCAGGACCACAGGAUCAUGCCCUGAGUCCAAGGCAGAUGGUUAACCACUGGGAAACCCAGCCAUCCCCAUUUAGACAAUUUUUCAAUGCAUAUUCUUACUGAGGUCUGAGGAUUCACAAAUGAAGACAUGCUUUUAGACCUUGCGGAGCUUUAGAAAUUAUCUAAUGUGCUGUGGAGUCACAACAGACCUGAACAUUUGAAAUUUGGGCUAAAACAAGUACUAAGUAAGGAGGCCCGCUAUUUUCAGAAAGUUCUACAGAGGUGGCAAUAUUUGAUUAAGAAGUAUGUGGGGGAUUGCUGUAGGGAAAGUGCUAGAAGCAGGGCUGGGCAAGUGUCGGGGACAUCCAGGUGAGAGAGGAAAUGGCACAGCUAUCUGAAACCUGCAGGAAUGUUCAGGUGGGAGGUGACAGAUUCCAGGUGCCUGGAUUAGAGGAAUAUUGCUAUACUGCCAGAAAAGGAGGCUGGAGAAGUAAGUUUCAGCAAACAGUGAUAAGUCCGGAGUAGCCCUAAACCAUGGGGACUCAGACUCUGUCUCUAUGAUACAGAGGGCAGAAACACAGACUAGGUAUGAAGAGCACAGACUAUGGUGUCAGACUGCCUAAGUCUGAACGGGCCACUGAGUAGCCAGUAGCUUUGGAAAAGUUGCUUAUUCCUUCUAUGCCUCAGUUAACUGACAAAUGGGGAUAUUACUGCUACUUAGUUCAUUGGAUUAUUACGGAAAUUAUGUAAGUUUUGCAAAGUGUCCAAGACCUUAUCUUUUAAAUAGCAGAAGCUAUUAAAUGAAUGUCACGUGCAGAUUGGAGCAGGAAGAUUCUAGGGGUGCUUGGGUGGCUCAGUGGGUUAAGCAUCUGCCUUUGGCUUAGGUCAUGAUCCUGGGGCUCUGGGAUCCAGCCCCAUAUUGGGCUCCCAGAUCAGUGAGGAUUCUCUCUCUCUCUCUCAAUCUCAAUCUCUCUCUCCCUUAUCUCUUUCUCUCUCUCUCUCUCUCUCUCAAAUAAAUAAAAUCUUUUUUUUUUGAAAGAAAGAUUCUAGAUGAUGAGUCCUGAAAUGUAGCAGUGGCAAAAAAGAUAGGGAAGGGCGGAAUAUGUGCUCGUUCCAACUGUAGCCAUGUUCUGUAUGAGACAGUUCUUUCUCAUGACAAAACAAAAUCUCUUCCCCUUCAUGCAAAGAACUCAAGUUCUAUUUGUGGGUCCUAGUCCUGCCUGUCCCCCAACAGACACUUAGAUGUAAUAAAAAUUCAGGUGUUAUGAUGUCUUGUAGAUUAUACCUUUUUUAAUUUUGAAAAAGAAUAUUCUAAGAUGAAAGACUUUGACAUUUAACUCAUGGAUAGUCUUCAGCAAGAGAACAAGAUGAGAAAUGCUAUUGAAUACUUAUGGUUCAAACAGACAGCAGGCAGUACAGAGAACAGAGCCUCCAGCAGCAGGGCAGAAAGAGUCACAGGUAGAAAUUCAAGAAAGACAAGAACAAAAAUCUUUUACAGUUUAAGAAUCUCAUUUACCUCAAAGUUCUUUCUCCAAUACUGUUUCUAAACUCUAAUAUUCUGGACAGACACCAGUUUUUUUAAAUAUGAUUUUAAAAAUGUGAGACACAAUUGAAACACAGGUCCAAAUGUUAUCCAGGGCAAGAUCAAGUUUGGUGAUUAUCUUACUAGAAAACACAUGGAUAAAGUGUAGUUUAAAUAGUCAUGUCUCUGAUACCUCCACCAAACAACAUUUGAUGUAUCCUGUCAUUUAUUGUGAAACUGCCAGCUACUUAUACAUUUAGCGAACCAUUAUUUCUGGAAUUUAGUGCAGACAUUGUUCUAUAGGCUAACACUUCAGUAGUCUGAUGAACACAGUGCUUCCCCCUACUCUGCCUUCCUACAGGCCCUUUGCCCUACCCCUAACGCCUACUCCAGUUUCUGCACAACCAGUGGCCUUUUCCAAAUAAGGAUCACAUUCCAAGGUCACAAGCAUGAAAAUAAAUUUUUUGGUAUUUGGAAAUGCUGUGAGAUUUUAAAAGACAAAAAAUCUUCUAAGAGUCAAUUAUGAAGAGUUCUAUUUUAAAUUAAAAAACUGGCUUUAAAGGAAAAACACAAAUUAAACUCUAGUAUUAUGAGGCAAAUGGAGUCCCUGCUUAUAAAACCCUUUUUUUAAAAUAAUAAAUUUAUUUUUUAUUAGUGUUUUGACAAGGGGCCCCCAAGGGGCUUAGUCAGUUAAGCGUCCGACUCUUGAUUUCGGCUCAGGUCAUGAUCUCAGGGUUGUAACAUCGAUCCCCACUUCAGAUUCUCUCUCUCCCUCUCUGCCCCUUCUCCCAGUCAAGCUCACUCUCUCUCUCUUUCUCUCUUACAUAAAUAAAUGAAAUCUUUAAAAAAAAGAAAGCAAUGAUGUAAAAAAAAAUAUUUCGACAAAGGUGUUCCUUAAAGGAAAAGUCUAGUAUUUAUUUCAGGAAAAUUUACAACGAUCUGUUUACAGACCUAAAUAUUCCAAGCUCUUACUAACUAUGCAUCUUCAACAGUUCCAAUUUGGAAAUCCCUUUCUUGCUAUUUUUUUCAGCAUGGCCUUUCUAUAAAUGGCAAGCAAGCAUACUUAUAGAAAUUAGUCAUAACUACUCCAUGAAAUGCUCUGUUGUUCCUUAGAACUGGGGGAAGGUUCAUGAUAUGUUAAUUUUGGAAAUUCUAAGACAUUAUGAGAUGCUACGAGACCAUUUCAUGUAGCUUAGUCUCUCAGCAGGGGUAUCGAUACAGUCUGCUUUCUGUGAAGAAGACAUCAGCCACCGCAGACUAAUAUUAGCUUAAAAGAAUUGAAAUAUCUUUGAUGUAAACAAACAUGUGCAACCACACAGUCAGUAAACAUUUUAUAGACAAGAAGACAAAUCAAAUGACAUUCAUUUGGCCUUUAUAGAAGAUGCAUUUGGGGCAUUUUUCAUUUUAUAAAGGAGAAAUGAAUCCAAACAUUGUUCAUAAGGGAACACUAAAGCUCUAAAAGUACAUAAGAGAGCCAAGUCAGACUUUUUAAUAUUUAUAUGUUCUUUUAGGGAAAUUGUUCUGGUUCUUGCAGAUGAUUAAUAAUACCUGCUGCAUUUGCAUAAUUCAUAGCUUUAAAUAAUUAACAGGAUUAUAAUUAUAUUCAUAAUUCUUUAUCAAUUGAAGUUAAUAACUUUGGUCUGCUGUAAUGUGCUAUGUUAUUGAACUAAAAUCUGUACUUCAAAACAAUGAUUCUAGUUAAUAUUAGCAACACACAUUACAUAUCUAAACCUUUCUUUAUACACCCCAAUGAUAAAUGAGUAUAGAGUGUAAAUCCCUCAAUAUUCAAUGAGAAGAAUAAAGGCAUUUGAACAUCUGGAAAUUUGUCUAUAUUAAAGUAUAAAUACAAAUAUCUGUAUCUAUAGAUCUCUAUCUAUAAUAAAUAUAUAGAGAUAUAAAACAUACAUCUUUUUUUUUGCAAAGAGAUGAUAUAUUUAUUUCAGGAUAAGUGGUAGGUAAGAAACAGUAUAUAUAUAUAUAUAUAUAUAUAUAUAUAUAUAUAUAUAUAUAUAUAUACUUUUUUUUUUGUUUCAAAAUAAUAAGGAUAUACAAGAUGCAACAGUUUGUUUACAACCUACCUGGAGAUGGGUCACUUGUGGACCUUUUGUGAAAAGGCAUAUUUACCUCAAGACUUGGCCAAUUUGUUAAAAAGGAAUAUUCUUUUUUUAAAAAAUAUGCAUAUAUGGAGUAACUAAAUUAUUAUACUAAAAAUACAAAUAAUACAGAAAUAGAUAGAAAGACUUCAAUUUCUAUCCCCCAUUUCUACUUCCACCAACAAUAAAGUCUAGAAGUAUUUAGUGUGAUGUUUUGAUUUAUUCAUUUAUUAGCUAUAAUGGCCUUGCCUAAGACUGGAAUUCAAAAGCAAAAUGUGCUUUAAAUUUAGAAUAUGUUGGGGCGCCUAGCUAACUCAGUUGGAAAAGCGUGCAACUCUUGAUCUCAGGGUUUUGAGUUCGAGCCCCACAUUGGGUGUAGAGAUCACUUAAAAAUAAAAUCUUUUAAAAAAUGUACAACAUGGAAUGAAAAUUAGUGUGUGCUCCCUGAGGAAACAAAGCUGAAACUAAGGUUAUCUGUUUGUUCUCAAAACGUGGAGGAGGGGGGCACCUGGAUGGUUCAGUGUUUGAGCAUCUACCUUCAGCUCAGGUCAUGAUCCCAGGGCCCUGGGAUCGAGUUCCUCAUCAGGUUCACUGCAGGAAGCCUGCUUCUCCCUCUGCCUAUGGCUCUGCCUCUCUCUGUGUGUCUCUCAAGAAAAAUAAAUAAAAUCUUAAAAAAAACAUGUAGGAAUUACAAGAACAACAGAAAUCUUCCACAUAACUCAGUCUCCUUUCAAAUACCUUAUAAUGCAUCUUGGAUGUUUCUUUAAAGCAAUAUUAUUAAGAUAUUUUCAAGAGAAAAAUAAUCUACCAGUGUAAACUGUAUUUAAAAAUGCAUAGAGCCUAUUUUAGCGGCCUAACAGUUUUAUAAUAUUUUUGUUGAAAUGACUUCUUAAGUACAAAAGUCUUAAUUGCUUAUUACAAAAGACUAAAUAUUUUAUAUCAAUGUAUUAAAUUAAAAAAAUGUGACCUGCCAUAACUACAAUAGUCCAGCAUAUUGAAGAUAAUCUGAGUCAAAUUACCAACCAUUAUUAUGUUCUGCAAGAACACAUAAGGUCUAUAAUAACAUUGAAUCAGUGAUUAAAUAAAUAUUUUCUUCCUUCCCAGAGAAGCUCACUACUUUAAAAAUGGAUUACAAUACAGAGAAUAUCACCUAAAUUAUUCAUUUUAAUUAAGUCAUUUCCUGAUUUUUCUCCUAGCAGACACAGUGAAUUAAGAAAUUAUCCAUGUAAGUUUUGCUUCCUAAGUAUGCUCUAAUUCUGUAAAAAUGGAUUAUUCUAUUCUCUGCCUCCAAUUGGUAAACCACAUAAAGUCCAAAAUAAAGAUCAUAAGUCUAGGUUUAUUAUUUUAAUGUAGUUGAUAUUUUAAUUCAAAGACAUCAAGAUGUUCUGAAAAUGUUCUAAUAUAUUUACUGCUGUAAUAUUGAC
Molecule: long non-coding RNA, 5117 nt
Filed under: Canis lupus familiaris (dog)
Lineage: Eukaryota; Metazoa; Chordata; Mammalia; Carnivora; Canidae
Description: lncRNA (ENSCAFG00845021450.1)
Source: RNAcentral